GCUGGGUGUGGUGGCGCAUACCUGUAAUCCCAGCUACUCAGGAGGCUGAGGCAGGAGAAUCACUUGAACCCAGGAGGCAGAGGUCGCAGUGAGCCAAGAUUGCACCACUGCACUCCAGCCUGGGUGACAGAGUGAGACUCAGUCUCAA
Molecule: non-coding RNA, 148 nt
Filed under: Gorilla gorilla gorilla (western lowland gorilla)
Lineage: Eukaryota; Metazoa; Chordata; Mammalia; Primates; Hominidae
Source: Rfam by way of RNAcentral